GAAGAAAAACAAACACGAAGCUUCGUUCCUCUCUUUUUAGGUGAGCUACUUCAUUCCUCAAAAAAGUGUUCACUUCUUUUUUGCCAGGUUUCAUUCAAUUUGCUGUAGAUUGGAUGAUGGAAAAAACAGCAAGCUACGGCUUCAAAGCUUACCUUAUUUAGAAAAAAAGAAAGGGCUUUUUUAUAGAUGUUGAGGUUGAGUAAUGGGGGCGGAGCUUGAAGAGCAAAGCGAGCCACGCUAGCCUAGCAACGUUUUUCAGCAACAAGCUAUGGUCUAAAAAACCCCUAACCUAGGUUGGGGCGAAAACUCGAAAAUCCAAAAUGUUAGUUAGGGUUCAUCUCCUUUUAGGUGGUUAGUUAGGGUUCCUCUCCUUUUAGGUGAGCUACUUCAUUCAAAACCUUUCUCUAAUAAUAAGGUAAGCUUUCAAGACAUCACCCUUUAAAGGAGUGGGCGCAGUGAACUGUAAUUGUGAAAAGAUUGGAAGAUCUGGCCAAAGAGGUAAUAGCCUUAUAGAUUCGUUCCCAUGGUUCGAUCCUUCCCAGUAAAAUGUAGCGCAUUCGAAUUCUGAUCACUUUUAUGCGAGAAAGGGGGACAACCCUCUAAGCCUAAGUAUUUCUCAAUGGUCGAUAGCAUACAAGUACCAUAAGGGAAAGGUGAAAAAAACCCUAUUUAGGGAGUGCAAUAGAGAACCUGAGAUCCGAUGCGAACAAUCAGUCGAAGGAUCAGAUCUUAGAGCCUUUACUUUAUGUAAAGCACACUCAAUCUAACGGCGUACCUUUUGCAUGAUGGGUUAGUGAGGAAAUGGGAACAGCGGCUUAAACUAUUAGGUGUGGGCGCUUUCCAGAGGUAGAAUCUUCUAGUUCUUUCUAUUUAACCCGAAACUAAUCGAUCUAGCCAUGAUCAGGUUGAAGAGAGCUCUAACAGGCCUUGGAGGACCGAACCCACAUAUGUGGCAAAAUACGGGGAUGACUUGUGGCUAUGGGUAAAAGGCCAAACAAGAUCGAAUAUAGCUGGUUUUCCAUGAAAUCUAUUUCAGUUGAGCAUAUGAUAUCGAUGGCCUGAGGUAAAGUACUCAAUGGGCUAGGGUGGCCUCAUUUCGCCUUACCAACCCCAGAGAAACUCUGAAUACAGGCCUAGAUCAUUUGUACAGACAGACUUUUUAGGUGCUAAGAUCCAAAGUCGAGAGGGAAAUAUCCCAUAUCAUACCCUAAGGUCCCAAGCAAUCACUUAGUGGAAAAGAAAGUGAUCGAGCAAUGACAACCGGGAGGUGGUCUUGGAAGCAGCCAUUCUUUGAAGAAAGCAUAAUAGCUCACUGGUCUAGCUCCAGGGCACCAAAAAUAUAUCAGGGCUCAAGUGAUUCACCUAAGCGACGAGACCUUGAAAGCUGCUUUUUCAAGUGUCAAUAGCAGAAUGUUCUGUCAAUUGGGGAAGGUUUUUGGUGACAAGACCUGGAGAUAUCAGAAGUGAGAAUGUUGACUAGAGUAAUGAAAAAUCCUGUGAAAAACAUGAUCGCCUGCCAGUGGAAGGUUUUCUGUGUUUAGCCAAUCUACACAGAGUGAAUCGAUCCCUAAAAAAACCCUAAAAGGGCCUAGUCCGAUAGGUACACGAAAGUGACAAAGUUGCUUUGACUACAGAACCAUGCCUGUCUGUUGGAGUGAAUUGGAUGAUCGGGCUGAGGGCUGCCCCUUCUUUCCCUCACUUCCUUUCUCUAAUAUAAACCUUGAGUCAUCAAAGCCUUUCUGACUCGGCCUGGCCCGGUUGCCCUACGUGACUGGUGCUUCAAAAGGUGAAACUCUCGAUCGUAGUUUGGCGACCUAUCUUUAUUAGGGGCCUUUAGUCUUUUGAUUAGAGUAGGGGUCGUGAGAGAACAGAGCAUACCGCCCUGCCAUAGUCAUGAGUCUAUUUAUAGUCACGACUGUUGUCAUAGUCAACAAGGUUGAAACUUCUAGGAAAAAACUUCAAAAUGGGAGGGCGAUCCUCCCGGUGAACUGACCGUACCCCAAACUGACACAGGUGAACAAGUAGAGUAUACUAGGGCGCUUGAGAGAACCAUGUCGAAGGAACUCGGUAAAAUAACCCCGUAACUUCGUAAGAAGGGGUGCUCUCCUAUCUUUUGAUUAGGAAAGCGGCACAUACCAGGGGGCAGCGACUGAUUAUUAAAAACACAGGACUCUACUAAGUGGUAACACGAUGUAUAGAGUCUGACACCUUCCCAGUGCUGGAAGGUCGGAAGGAGAAGUGUUAUAAGCUUUGAAUGGAAGCCCCGAUAAAUGGCGGCAGUAACUCUAACUGUCUUAAGGUAGCAAAAUUCCUUGUCACAUAAGUAGUGACCUGCACGAAUGGUGUAACGACUACCCCGCUAUCUCCGACAUGGACCCGAUGAAAUUAAAUUCUCUGUGAAGAUGCGGAGUACCAAUGGCUAGACGGUAAGACCCCGUGCACCUUAAUUAUAGCUUCGCAGUGACAACCUUAAUCGAAUGUGUAGGAUAGGUGGGAGGUGGUGACACACAAUGACCAAUCCUGAAAGAAAACUCUUUCGUCUAAGGAUGCCUAACCGCCACACCGAUCAUUUGGGGGAAGGCGAGACACUACGAGGUGGGUAGUUUAUCUGGGGCGGAUACCUACUAAAGAGUAACGAAGGUGUGCGAAGGUAGGCUCAAGCUAAGAUUUUGCUCGUGAGCGUAAUGGUAUAAGCCUACCUGACUGUGAAACCGACUGGUCAAACAGAGAUAAAAGUUGCCUANUGUGGAAGGGCUCUCGCUCAACGGAUCAAAGGUAUGCCGGGAAUAACAGGCUGAUGACUCCCAAGAGCUCUUAUCAACGAAGUCGUUUGGCACCUCGAUGUUGACUCAUCAUAUUCUGGGGUUGAAAAAGGUCCCAAAGGUUUGGUUGUUCACCGAUUCAAGUGGUAUGUGAGUUGGGUUUAGAAUGUCAUGAGACAGUUUAGUUCCUAUCUACCGUUGGUGUUAAAGAGAGAACUGCGAGAAGCUAACCCUAGUACGAGAGGACUGGGUUGGGCUAACCUAUGGUGUACCAGUUAUUAUGCCAAUAGCAGCGCUGGGCAGCUAAGUUGUUAUGGAAGAACUGCUGCGCCGUGGGAAAUCCUUCUCUAUACAAGUUCUCAGAUGAGGUUUUUGAAUAGAACUUUGAUAGGCGAGAGGUGUAAGCACCGCGAGGUGUGAAGCGAUCUCGUACUAAAUGAAACGACUUUCACUU
This 3216-nucleotide ribosomal RNA is filed under the name Capsicum annuum. RNAcentral's name for it is "bacterial LSU rRNA". It matches the Rfam family "Bacterial large subunit ribosomal RNA". The record is from RNAcentral. Lineage: Eukaryota; Viridiplantae; Streptophyta; Magnoliopsida; Solanales; Solanaceae.